This 741-nucleotide long non-coding RNA is filed under the name Penaeus japonicus. Its description in RNAcentral is "uncharacterized LOC122257694". The record is from RNAcentral. Lineage: Eukaryota; Metazoa; Arthropoda; Malacostraca; Decapoda; Penaeidae.
CUACAAUGAUAAGAUAAAGGACACUCACAUUUGGCGAUUCGAUUCCCCCUUCCUUGUUCAUUAGAUACAGCUGUCGUGCACCCCAAACACGUCUCCAGUCAUGGACGAUUCGGAAGCAAGUGUAUUUAUGUGUCUUAUUAUAUGCCUUGUCAUAGUAUAUGCCAUGGUACGGGGUUACGGUUUCCUCUUCUCCAGGGUCGACAAUGACAUCCACGUUGGAUUUGUACCCAUGGAGAGAAUCAGCAGGGCUUUUCAGGCACCGUCAAUAGCGGGUACCAAUGUCAAGAGUGAAUGAAGAUUUUGCUUUUAUUGAACUAAAUCAUCAGUGGUUCCAACCUUUUUCAAUGCCCAGCCAUCCCUCUGCAGUCCACAGCUUGCAAACCACUUAAUUAGUAGAUACUGUACUGUUUCUUGAAUGUAAUUAAUGUUAUCUGAACUAAUGUCCACAUUAGUUUGAUUUUCUACAAGGAAACACUCAAUUUGAUAUUGUUACCCCAGCGAGAGUGUUGGUAUGUGUGUAAUAUUGUGCGAACAUGCUAACAUGAUGAAAUCGGUGACAAACAUGGCGUAAGGGUCGAGGCGUGGCUCUUGUAUCCUGAUUUCCUUGUGCUUGCCCCUUGUAUUGUGAUUCCUAUAUUGUGCCCGAGGACUUUAAAGUGUAAUGUGGAUAUCCUCUUGUAUUCUACCCGAGAAUUAAUAUAACUUGUGUUGAACUGACUAAGUAAAUAAGAAACAGUGUUA